GAUGAACGCUAGCGAUAGGCUUAACACAUGCCAGUCGAGGGGCAGCAUGGUCUUAGCUUGCUAAGACUGAUGGCGACCGGCGCACGGGUGCGUAACGCGUAUGCAACUUGCCUCACAGAGGGGGAUAACCCGUCGAAAGACGGACUAAUACCGCGUACACUUGGGAUAGGGCAUCCUGACCCAAGGAAAUGAAAUUCGCUGUGAGAUAGGCAUGCGUCCCAUUAGCUAGUUGGUGAGGUAACGGCUCACCAAGGCGACGAUGGGUAGGGGAACUGAGAGGUUGAACCCCCACACUGGUACUGAGACACGGACCAGGCUCCUACGGGAGGCAGCAGUGAGGAAUAUUGGUCAAUGGGCGAGAGCCUGAACCAGCCAAGUCGCGUGAAGGAUGACUGUCUUAUGGAUUGUAAACUUCUUUUAUACGGGAAUAACAAGAGUCACGUGUGGCUCCCUGCAUGUACCGUAUGAAUAAGCAUCGGCUAACUCCGUG
Molecule: ribosomal RNA, 490 nt
Filed under: uncultured bacterium
Lineage: Bacteria
Description: partial 16S ribosomal RNA
Rfam family: Bacterial small subunit ribosomal RNA
Source: RNAcentral